This 6668-nucleotide long non-coding RNA is filed under the name Sus scrofa (pig). Its description in RNAcentral is "lncRNA (ENSSSCG00050017151.1)". The record is from RNAcentral. Lineage: Eukaryota; Metazoa; Chordata; Mammalia; Artiodactyla; Suidae.
GUCUUUUUGUUGUUGUUGUUGCUAUUUCUUGGGCCGCUCCCGCGGCCUAUGGAGGUUACCAGGCUAGGGGUUGAAUCGGAGCUGUAGCCACCGGCCUACGCCAGAGCCACAGCAACGUGGGAUCCGAGCCGCGUCUGCAACCUACACCACAGCUCACGGCAGCGCCGGAUUGUUAACCCACUGAGCAAGGGCAGGGACCGAACCCGCAACCUCAUGGUUCCUAGUCGGAUUCGUUAACCACUGCACCACGACGGGAACUCCAAGAUUUGCUAUUUUAUUUUUUGAAGUUCUACUAUUAUUUUAUUACUGUUACAUAAGAAUUAUAGAACAGAAUUUUAUAUAUGUCAUGCAUUUUGUAAAACUUUUCUAUUAAACCAAGACAAACCCUCAGUUCUAAGAUGUACUGUGAUAUCAGAGAUGUUAAAAUGUGAAAGAAUAUGCACCUUAACUUUGAUGAAAAGUGAUAUAAUCUCCACAUUACAAAUGAAGAAACAGACUUCAUGAGGUUAAGAUGCCAAAGGUCACAUGGUUAGCCAAGGGGGACAUCCAGGGCUCACAUUCAGGUGGGUCUGACUUGAAGUCCAUGCUCUUAACUAUUUGAUGAGUGUGUCUCAGUUUGUGUUUAUGCCCCAGAAAGUGAAAUUAAGUAUCUUCUUGUUGUUAAGUUGAUCAUCAGUAUGCUGCAGAGUGAUAACUUAAAUCUCAGGGUGAUUUUUCAAGAUUUGCUCACCCAAUAAGGCCAAAGAGGCCAAGAAAAAGAAACCAAUUUCUACCUCAUUUGCAGCUAUGUAGGUAGCUUCAACAUUACAGCUUUCAAGUGAUGAAUUCUGUCUCUUUGUCCUGGAAUCAACCUUCAUUUUAGCUUAUAAAAUGAAAAAGAACAUUUUUUCAUACAAAAUAAGAUCUUUCUUUCUGAAGACAUUGCUUGGCCUGCUGUUCAGUUUACAAGCAAAUUACAAUUUCUCUACUUUUAAUAACUCAAGAUGUUUCAUAACUUUGUCAUAGUUUGAGAUUUGAGAACAAGCAAACAAGACCACACGAAGCUUAAAGAAGCACAGAGCAAUUUCUUAAAAAUGUUUUUAGCAAUAAAGACCCACAAGACAGAAAAAUAGAACAUGCAUACAUACUCAACUCAGAGUCCCCAUUUUUUUUUCUUCCUUCCUUCCUUCCUUUUCUUUUCUUUCUUUCUUUUUCCAGGAGGCAACAGCAACUUUAAAAUUGUCUUCCUCCUAUGUAGGAUUACACAUGCACUGUACACAACUUCAGUUCCUGUUCUAAAAGCACACGAUGAGCCAUUGUUUUAUGAUUGUCUCUUGAGGAUGAGGAAAAAUGUUACUGGUAGUCUGAAAGAAUAGGUUUUAAUAUGGGCAUUUAAUUUUCUUUCCAUAUACUCCCUGAUUAAAACAAGGUUUGCCCCAUUUUUCUAUUUUUCUUUUAAAAGCUCACUUUACCCACAUUAACAAAACAACAUACUGACUAUGGUAGUGACUUAGCUUUGACUGCCCUAAGUUAGAUCGAACUUGGAUCUAUCUCUUAUACUGUGUCUAGGCAUUGGACACAGUAUGACAAAAUUUAAUUUUUAGUUAUAAAAAAUUAUUUGUCUCCCCAAAUGUUAAACUGAAUGGUGAUAUAGUUUAUUGAUAUAGUUGUUUUAAAAUUAGUUAAUAAGAAUAUAAAAAGAAAUGUACUGCUCUUUAGCAGUUACUAAAAUGAGCAAAACAUUUAAAUCCACAAAGACCCUGAGCAGUUAAGCAAAACAUGAUAAUAAUAUUGUUUCUGGGCUAUAGAAAUAAUAUACUAUUUUUUAAAAAGUCCAAAAAAUACAAAGGAGAAAGUAAAAACAUCUCAAAUACAACUUCCGAGAUUGUUAUAGUUCAGUUUAAUUGUAAACCACAUUCUUUUUUUUCUUUUUUCUUUUUUAAACUAUGCUACCUUUCUGUUAUCACUUUAAACUAUACUCACUGGGAGCUAGAUCAACAAAUGUACUUUGAUUUGAAGAGGACUGAAUAUGGACUAUUCUGAUAAGAUUUAACACAGACAUAAACAUAGCCAGAAAAGAAAAUGUUAGAAUGUUCACACAGAUUGGAAGCCUGGGCUUGGGUCCAGUUAUUCAUACACUAGAAUAAAUGUCUGAGUUGUGUUGGGAUUACAUGGUCAGUUCUAAUCUAUUCAGUUUCACUGACAUGAACUCUUACUAUGUCCUGGAUACUGUGUGAAGUAUUUUAUAUACAGCAUUUCUUCCCACUAACUCUGCAAGUUAGGUAUUAUUGGCACCUGCUUUAAAGAUGAGAAAACUGGAGCUUAGAUAGGUUAGGAGACUUUUUCUGGCAAAUGGUGGAGCUGAGGUAUGUACUCAGGUCUGUGCAUCCCAAAGUUAUGUUCUUGCCGUGGUGCUAUCCGAAGAAUACCUGAUCCCCAUCUUCAAGGAACCUACAGUCUAAUAGGAUAUGAGGUAAUUAUAGAGAUAACUAAAACAUAAUAAAGAAUACAAAAUCAACCAUCCAAAGGUAUAAACAGCACGUUAUGAGAAUUCAAAUCCAGAGAAACCAAUCUACAUGUGUGUGGGACUUAGGAGUGAGAGGAGAUGGGGAGCAGGAAAACACUCCCAAGUAAGAGCCUGAAUGGGAAAAGGGACUUAAAAGAAGGAUAAAAUAGAUAUGAUGAAGACUGGGUGAAACGAAGGUGGGUCACGAAGAGGAAACAGGAAAUCUCAUGUGUUGGUUACAUAUAAGGAGUAGGAAGUAGAGAUCAAGUUAGAAAGGUGACUUUGGCUACAACUUUGAAGGUUUUGAGGCUCAAGGGGAGGAGUCUGUACGUAAUUCACCAGGUACUGAGGCUCACUCGAAAGUUUCUGAGUGGAAGGAGACCUUAGGAAGAUUGAUCAGGUAGUACUGUGGAGAGGAAACAGGCCAAUUCAUUGAAAGCCAAUUCCUUCGGCUUUCAGGAAGAUACAUUUCAAGGAUGAAAAACUGAGACUUGUAGGGGCUAAGUAGCUUACCAAAAGUCAUAGUAAAGAGAAAAGCCAGGAUUUGAAUCAAGUCCCUCCAACUCCAGAGCCAUACUCUGACCUCUAGGCCCACCUACUUCAAGUAAGGUUCAUGGACCAUAUAGCAUCAGCUCCCAGGAAAUCUGAAUGCUUAUUAGAAAUGCAGACCUACUAAAUCAGAAUCUGCAUUUUCAUGUGAUAUAUGCACAUUAAACUACUAAGCUACGUUUUUUUCCCUUAUAAUGACCUAUACAAUUAACUGGAAAAAUCAUUUAGUUGGCAGCAAAUCCAAUUGUUUGGGGGAUUAUAUUAGAUAGUUUCCUCACAUAAAAGGUAAGAACUACCUAAGAAAAGGGGGCCUUCUAGGUUUUGUUCCACUGGGAAGCAAGUUGCGAAUUUAAAAACUGAAAUUAUAACUGGAUGUGUGGCUUUGGGCAGGUCACUUAACCUCUUUGAAUUUUAGUUUCCUUAUCUGCAUAACAUUUAGCCUGUAAGAAUCAAAUGAAAUGGUAUCUGUGAAAAGAACUUAUCAACUGAGAAAUCAUUAUAAACAUAUGAAGUGUUGUUAUGAGGAGACAUAGCUAUAAAGUGCCCUAUUUCAAAAAAAAAAAAAAAAAGAUGGGGGAGAGAGGGAACGGAAGGGAGGGAGGGAAAGAAAGGAAGGAAAAGAGGAAAGGGUAAAAAGAAAAGCAGGGACAAUAUACAAAAGUAAACUGAAGGAAAAUCAGUUGCUGAAGCAGGGAUUUUGAAGAACUGAUGGGUAAAAGGUAAAGGAGUCCAGGAAAUCUAAUUUGGGUUCCACAUAGGUAUUUUUGAAAAUACAGAGACCACAUUGCAUAUGGAAUUAGGAAGAGAAACAAGGGCCUGUGUGGUCUUGGCCCAAGAUACCUGGGAGUUCCCGUCAUGGCUCAGUGGUUAACGAAUCAGACUAGAAUCCAUGAGGUUUCGGGUUCGAUCCCUGGCCUUGCUCAGUGAUUUAAGGAUCCGGCGUUGCUGUGAGCUGUGGUGUGGGUCGCAGACGUGGCUUAGAUUGCGUGUUGCUGUGGCUCUGGUGUAGGCCGGAAGUUACAGCUGCGACUCGACCCCUCGCCUGGGAACCUCCAUAUGCUGUGGGAGUGGCUCCAGAAAAAGGCAAAAAGACAAAAAAGAAAAAAAAAAGAUACCUGGAUGGGGGAAAACCCCUUAAAAUUUAUCAACAGAUAGAAUGGGAUAGUGUGCUAAUCAACAAUUUUUAGAUAUAGUUUCACAUAUAUGAUAGAUAAACUGAAUUUUUUUUUUGAGGAGUGGCAGUAAAUGCAUAAGCUCUGGGUUUGCUGAACUUCUGAAGGACAUGUGCCUGUAAUUGGCCUUUCUCAUUUCUGUCUUGUUAACAAGUAUAUAAAUAAGAGAAGGCUUCAGUAAUUGGCUCAGAGUUACUAAUGAAUUAAUUAACUUCAGUCUAUUUUACCUAACCUUUAAUAAUAAGAGUCUUUUUAUUUAUUUAUUUUUUUUGGGUCCAGCAAUAGGUCUGACAGACUGAAAAAACAGACAUGCAGCAAAGCUCUUGAAAAUUAAUGAGAAACGAGGAAAGAAUCAAUGUACAUUCUGCUUGCAGAGAACUGACACAAAAAAGACACAAUAAACCAUGAACAAACACAGUCAGUUUAAAAAAAUAGGUUAGAAAAAGUGGGCAAAUUCAAUUAUAGAAGUAAUUAGAAGAUAUAGGGCAAGGCUGCCUUUUGGGACCGUGCCAGAAAACAUGAAUUAAUAUGAGUGAAUAGAAAGAACCCAUGUAGUAAUUAAGAAGCAAUCACCUAUGGCAAUGAGUACCUGAAAACAGGCUGCAAACUAUUAAUUCAGUGAUCAAAAAUAUUUUUAGAUGAUUAAUAUGGCAAAUUUAUUUUAAAAGACUAAUUUCUGGAAAGAUAUCAAGACAAUAGCACACUAUUUGUUCAUCUGGCAUUUAUAUAGCUAAUUAAAUUUUAUAAUUUGCAACAACAGUCAUUAUUAUCUGAAAACAGUAAAAGCAAUAUUUCACCUCUGUUUUUUAAAAACAGUCGUUCUAAAAUCAAUAAAUCCAGCUCCUGCUGUCCUCCUGUAACUGCCUAGGCUUUGAUUGUUACAUUUUUUCAGGGUGCAUUUUUCUUCUAAGUCUGUUUCAGUAAUAUUAAGCAUUUGAAAGAAUGUACAUAUUCUCAAAGGUUUUAUAUGUUCCUAUGCCUGGGCAGGGAUUCCACACACUGUUUAAUUUCCACACUAUCAAAUAAAAGCAGUUUAAUGUACUAUUUGUGCAUCAAAGACUUUCUUACUUAGUCAACAGAGGUCUGUUACUUCAGUACACACCAUUCCUCCCCCUGAAUACAAAGGCAUAGACACGUUAUAGUGAAGAGUGCUUACAACACACAGAAGGCUAAUGGCUUCUGAAAUAGGUGAUUAUCAGAGCCCCGUAGAGCAAGAUGAGGGUCUGGCUGGUAAUAAAUAACCUCGCAAUAUGAAUUAUUCUAUUUCCACAGCUUUAAGAAAAUGUAUGUUUCAUUUGUUGAUCAGAAAUGUCUGAAAAAUGCUGUCUUUUUGGAAAUGACAGGGAGCUACUAAAAUGAAUCAGUGUGCCAGUGGGGAGUUACUGAGCACCUACUAAGGGCCUAAAGCACAAAAAUAAAUUUUGAAAUGCUAACCUUGUAACAUAUUUGUGUGUCUAUGUGUAUGAUUUCCUUUUAGAAGUCAAUAAAGAGAAACCUUUGUAUGCCACGCUUUAGAGAUGCUAGGUUUUUAAUUACUAAAUUUGCUCAUGGGAUUAUUGCUGUUUUGGAGGUUAAGGUAUAGAUUCAUUACCUAAAAACAAGAUCAAGCUAGAAACUCAUUGAGAGGACUACUGUAGAGGGCAUGGAGGUAAAAAGUACAGGUAUUUGAGAAGAUUUUUAACAAGAUACCAGAUCGAGCAGAUAUUAGGUCUGUCCAGUUCACUCAUAAUUUGUAAUGCUCUCAUUUUCUUAAACUAGGUACUUUUGAAAAGAACGCAGAAGAGAUAGCCUCUGGCAGAGGUUUGUCAUUCUCUACUUCAUGCUGUUAAUUAUCCGAACUUAGGUAUGACAACAGCAAACAACCAGCUCCUCUGCUAGCUAGAUGAUGCUGAUGACAGAAAGCUCCCCAAGAGGCAGGCAAUUGGGAACUACUGAAGUGAGUAUAGCUUAGAGGUGUGGAGCUGAGAAGGGCUGUUGGCUGAACAGGACCCGCUCACCAUGAAAUGUUAAUGUGUCAAUGAAGGGGAAAAGCAUGAAUGAACUACAAAAAAGCUGAAAAUGACUCAGCUGGUUGGAGAUGGAAUUUGGCUCUUUGCCAAAGUAAGGUGUUCAAGGGCACACACCAUAACACUUAGGGAAAAAAAAUCCUGCCCCCUGAAUUUGAAAAGAGAAAAUAUUUUGAAGAAAGAAGACAGAUAGCUUUUUUUCAUUAGAAAUAAACUUCCUUUUUUUUUUUUUUCUUUCUUUCUUUCUUCCCUUCCAGGCAGCAAACUUUUUCUGAGUUCUUUCUUUUUGCCAGGCUUUGAUUAGGAAUGAGGAAGGAAGAGAGGGAGAAUGGAAUAUAAAGAUAAAUGUGACCCAGCCCCUCUCUGAAAGCUCUUAUCCUAGAGAAAGGACAGAUGUAAGGAACUAUAAAAAAAGUGAAAUAAGUGCAAAGGAGGGAAAAGGUAAAUUGUAGGGAU